CAAGACUGCAUUUCCAGCCAGCUCCAAAGUAAUGCUGAUAACCACAGUGAGCACCAAAGCCAAAUGCCAAAAACCAAAAAGGAUGGCAAGAAUCAACCACAGGGGACAUCAGAGGACCACAGGUGGAGGAGAAGAGGCGAAAGUGGAAGCAACACAGGAUUACUCUGGAUGCUAUGCUGAGAAGAAACUGAAGACAAUGGUGGAAGUGGGAAAGCUUAUGACUCAGAAUAACUAUGUCUAAUAACAAAUUUUAAGUUCUCUUCAUGUUCCAGGUAUUAAGAAGAAAGAAUCUGAGAAAUUAUGGCGUACUCAACUGUGGACAGCUGAAAGUCUGGCAUAGCGUGCCCUCAUCAUCACAAAUGGGCUCGCAUUACAAGCUACACUUAUUUGACAACUAUCAGCAUUUGUCAACUGGCACUCAGAUUUGAAGCCUCAUUUCACAACUGGAGCAAGAGAGGACAGGAAGGAAAAAUCAGAGUAAGGUUUCAAUGAGUUUCUGCAAAUUCUCAGAAGUUUUGCUGCC
This 523-nucleotide long non-coding RNA is filed under the name Pan troglodytes (chimpanzee). Its description in RNAcentral is "long non-coding RNA NONPTRT005346". The record is from RNAcentral. Lineage: Eukaryota; Metazoa; Chordata; Mammalia; Primates; Hominidae.